This 497-nucleotide ribosomal RNA is filed under the name uncultured bacterium. RNAcentral describes it as "partial 16S ribosomal RNA". It matches the Rfam family "Bacterial small subunit ribosomal RNA", at positions 28 to 507 of the family's 1533-position model. The record is from RNAcentral.
GAUGAACGCUGGCGGCGUGCCUAAUACAUGCAAGUCGAGCGAACAGACGAGGAGCUUGCUCCUCUUACGUUAGCGGCGGACGGGUGAGUAACACGUGGAUAACCUACCUAUAAGACUGGGAUAACUUCGGGAAACCGGAGCUAAUACCGGAUAAUAUAUUUAACCGCAUGGUUCAAUAGUUAAAGACGGUUUUGCUGUCACUUAUAGAUGGAUCCGCGCCGCAUUAGCUAGUUGGUAAGGUAACGGCUUACCAAGGCAACGAUGCGUAGCCGACCUGAGAGGGUGAUCGGCCACACUGGAACUGAGACACGGUCCAGACUCCUACGGGAGGCAGCAGUAGGGAAUCUUCCGCAAUGGGCGAAAGCCUGACGGAGCAACGCCGCGUGAGUGAUGAAGGUCUUCGGAUCGUAAAACUCUGUUAUUAGGGAAGAACAAAUGUGUAAGUAACUAUGCACGUCUUGACGGUACCUAAUCAGAAAGCCACGGCUAAAUACGUG